Molecule: unclassified non-coding RNA, 312 nt
Filed under: Ascomycota sp.
Lineage: Eukaryota; Fungi; Ascomycota
Description: partial contains small subunit ribosomal RNA, internal transcribed spacer 1, and 5.8S ribosomal RNA
Rfam family: Eukaryotic small subunit ribosomal RNA (bases 1-47)
Source: RNAcentral
AAAGUCGUAACAAGGUUUCCGUAGGUGAACCUGCGGAAGGAUCAUUACAAAUGACACCAGGCAGCAGAUACUCUUGUCUACUGCCGUCACGGUCGAUCUAUUGCUACCGUAGUCAUGUUCCGGCAUGACUUCGUGUCCACCCAAUGUGAACCUUUAUACUUUGCUUCGGCAGCGCUUAGCGAUUAAAACUCGCAAAGGUAAGGCUGUCGAUAGCACCAAUAAAAACUAGUUGAUUAAAUUUCAUGCUGUCUGAAGCUUUUUGAGAAAUCAAAUUACAAGUUAAAACUUUCAGCAACGGAUCUCUUGGUUCUC